GGUUUAUCGCAAACAUAAUUUUUCUUGCGGGCCUGUACCAUUUCAGCCGAAUGUUUCGUCGAAAUCAUUAAAAAUAAUCCUAAUACUGUUUACUAAUAUCUUCUACACGUUUCAACAAUAUAUUCCGCACGUUUUGCCUACGACGAAAUAACGAAAGCGAAUUGUUUGUUGAAAUAAACGAAGCCUUGUUAUAAUAUGUCGCUAUCAACUGUUACCAAGGUGCCACGGUGGUCACCCGUGACCACCAAUAAGAUAAACGGUCCAUCGGGGAAGAAUGUUGUCUUACGUCAUCAAUUUAUCAUUAUUUUGCCAUUAUAUGCUUUGAAUAAUAAAAAUACUCCCGUGUCGUCCUGAGCGAAACACGUGAUUUCGGCGUGGCAGUCAAAGUGUUAAUAAUAUAAAUAUUAUAGAAAUAAUAAUAUUAUAAAUAAUAUACUUUAUAAGCUAGUUAUAAUACUUUUUUCCCCUUCGCAAUCUUACGAUAAAAUAAUUUUAUCACACAGAAUUUAUCGCUCACCUGAUGGACGAUAUCUUAAAGUUACACGAAACAACGGCAAACAUCUUGAUCGAGCAACCUGUGUUUCUUUUCCAAUCUUCUCCAAUCGGAGAUUACUUUCUAGAUAUGCGUCGUAUUUCCAUUGCCAACAUACGGUUAAACGUAUGUCAACAACAUAUGCAAAUACAUAGAUAAACACGUGAAAUAAGAACCGCGUUAAAGAUCUAUGGAUCGGUGGAUCCAAAGACCGUGUAACGGGACGUAACUCGUGAGAAAGAUUACGAAACUCGUAGACGAAUUACCGGGCUGUCUGGUCUGGUCUGGUCUGGUCUCGUUGUUAUAACCGUGCGUGCAUGACGUUGUACGUAUCCGACUGUGGCGAAAGUGCUGGCGGACCGCUAUGGAAAGAAAGCCAGGAAAUAGGUCGAAAACGCGAACCGUUUUCUGCAUAUUUCCCAUAACGAUCGACACACCGGUAUUCCUGGCUGAGUUUCAAGUUGCACGUAAAUAGCUACUCGUGCGACCUUUUUUACCUCGCCUCGCCUCGAUAUCGAUCUGUCCUCGGUUUUCUAACGUUGCACGCGUUUCUUCUACUCUCGGGUUUUUCCGAGAUUGCGGCAGCAAGCUGUUGCACAUAGAUUUUAUCUCGCAGCGAGCGAGAUGCGAAACAAUGACGCUGCCUCUCAUCGCUAAAUUGCCGGUGAUAUACUUGUUUAAUCGUUACUUAAGCAGAUGCUCCAGUUUGGAGUGGUUUUACGUGAAUUUUCUAUUCUUUUAUUUACAACUAUUAGAUUGUCCGGAAAGUUUCUUUCGUUUUAUAAGGAAAUAAUACACGCGCAAUGUUUUUGUUUUAUAUUAGUUUAUUGAAUUAUGCACGAACAUAAUAAUAGAAAUAGAACGAUAUGGUUCAUACUUAAUUUAGUAAAAUAAUAUGAAACAGAAAUUGUUGCUCAUCUAUUAUCAGCUUAUGAAACGAAAGAAACUUAAUUGUUAGUAGUAGGUAAUUGUUAGUCUUCGCUGAUAAUUAGGAAGAUUAGAUCAUUGCGCAAAUAUUGCGUUCCUUUUGAAGAUCGUACGUUAGGUGAAAAUUGUAUACAACUAUUUAUUGAUAAUCGAUCGAUAAUUUGAAUAUACAUAGGAAGAAACACAAACGGAAAAUAAAUAAGGUAAAAGGAAAGCUCGUGGUGUUCGUAGCUUUCCGUUUUCUAUUCGAUUUCUACGGGUGUCGCAACCACCCGUAUUCUCGCGUUUCUUUCGCGAAAUUCGAUUGGGACGCGCUAUGAAACGAGAUUGUGGUUCGCCGAUCGCAAACUAAACGCAAUGGUACGCGAUGCUUACCGUGUGUUUAACACUAGCACUACCGAUAGUUAACACGAAGAUAUUUCUAUCAAAACCAGUGAAAACGACUGGUGUUUAAAAAAUACCUAAUAAUACAAUAUUUUUAUAUUUAUUGAUUUAUUACUCUCUUACGGAAGGAAUUCCAUGUUAUAUAGUGCAUUUUUAGUAUUAUUAAUCCAUCUGGGGCCAGUCAUAAACCAGUCAUUUUGACUGGUGUGGUGUUUCUAGUGUUAGCAUCUAGCGAUUCAGCGAUCGAUUCGGAAUUUUCCUGAUAACUGAUAUCGUCAUAUCGAAAAAUUUGAAAAACGUAUGGCAAGUUGUAGAAAAUGGGGAAACUGGUUAAUUGGGGUUCAAUAAACAGAUUGCAGCACCCUUUUACACUUUGACAAGUACCAGUCAUUUUCACUGGUAUUGGUAUAAGUAGCCUUGAUGCAAAAUUAUUUUCAGUUUGAAUACAUAAAAAACAAAAUGUUGUUAUUUCUAUACUCAGAGAUAGGAUCGCAACAGGUUAUGGGCCAGGUGCAAUAAUUAGUUAUUAUUUUUAUUGAAAAUAUUAUUAACAGUAAUAAUAUCGAGGAGCGCAGAAUAUAACCAAAAAACAAAAAAAAAAAAGGGGGUGCGUGAUCGAUGAUUCAGUGUUGAAUAUCAUAAGGACGCUGUAUCGAGUAUACAAUAAUUGUUUACGUGAUAAUACAGUUAUCAAAAAAAAAAAAAAAAAUGUCGAG
Bombus huntii is the source of this 2559-nucleotide long non-coding RNA. RefSeq lists it as uncharacterized. Lineage: Eukaryota; Metazoa; Arthropoda; Insecta; Hymenoptera; Apidae. The transcript is spliced from 2 exons. The record is from RefSeq and is a predicted model, not a curated record.